Mauremys reevesii (Reeves's turtle) is the source of this 1593-nucleotide long non-coding RNA. RefSeq lists it as uncharacterized. The transcript is spliced from 3 exons. The record is from RefSeq and is a predicted model, not a curated record. NCBI's taxonomy places the organism in Eukaryota, Metazoa, Chordata, Testudines, Geoemydidae.
CCUUGUUAGCAAUUCAUGUAGUAUACUGUCAUGGCAUUGUUGAUUAAGAUUUGGACAACUUUAGAUCUGAUCAGGAGGAGGAAAACCCUGCAGGUGAGAUUAAUAGUUGUCAACUCCAGCAAUGUGAAAUUAAGUUUCAUCUCUGGGGAAGCCCACAACAUUGACUAGUGUGGGGUUUUGGAGGAGCCCUUAGGCCUUCUACUAAAGCACCUGCAACCUGUGAUUGUUACUGGAGACAGCAAGGUGAGAUGGGGACUCCUUGACUGGAAGUAAGAGGACUGUCUGUCAUGGCCAUUAUAAAGAAACCAGCCCAACCACUUCUACCUCAAGACAGAAGCUUCUGGAGAAAACCACUAAGCAGCAAAAUAACAAACAGCAUUCACCUACUCAUCUAUCUAAGGUCUGUUUUAGGUCUGUCACCUAUGGUCUCAGUGAAACAGAAGAAGGACAUGAUUAAAGGUGAACAUGAUUAAAGGUGUUUAUUAGGUACAGGCAAGUAAAGAACACUCAGUGAUUUGGAAUCAAGCGUGUGAAGCCCUCUAGCCCUUACAGAUGUUAUGGACUAACAGUCAAGAAAUCUAUACAGACGAGAUGUCAGUCAUGGAGGGAGGGUCGUGUCUGACCGACUGCCACAGUUCUGGUGUGAUGGACAACCUAGACCGUCUACUGUACCUGGUGAUGAUGAUGUGCACAGGAGGAACAUGGAUCAAAUCGGCUGCUGGACCAGAAUUCCUCAAUCUCAGGCAAGUAGGGAUGAGUUGACGUGUUGUCUCUCGGAGACUGCUCAUGACGACUGAUGACUGACACAGACACGGGCUGCCACCAUGAUGGACAGCACCAUAUAGCCUGUGAGAGGAGCUUAUAUACUCUCUUGUCUCCGGGCAGAAUUGCCAGAUCACAUGACCGAUCUUUUCCCGCCUUACAGGAAAAGGACGCCAAAAGCCCAACAAGAAGGGAGAUCAACAUGGCUCCCAAACAACAACUUUAUAGAAUUCAAAAUGACGAUUGUGAACAAAUGUUUAAAAUGAUACCAUAACAGAAUAUACAGUUAGAAUACAUAACAAAACAAUUUUCCCGUACAGUUUCCCCUCUUUGGCAGUUUGAAGGACUCUGUCUUCAAUGCCAUCACAACAAAUUUAGACUAAUUUAAAAGAGGGAACUGAUAUAUAAUGAUGACUGUAUUAAUCUGUCUUUUUAUCCAAAACGUGAGGGCAAUUAAGUAAAUAAUAAUCAUUAACUAGAUGACCAAUACAGUGAUUACCGGAUGCAACAGAAUGUUCCAGAAUUGAUUAAAAUCUACUGAGCCAUUGAAUAAACCUUCCCACCAAUGGAAAGAGUCACUUUGUAUCUUUUUAAUAUCCUCUUGAUUUGAUUAGAGGAGUAAUACAUAGUAACCAUCACUUCCCAGCUUUCCUGUUGUAAUUGCCUUAUAAAAUUAACAUUACAACCCACAAUGGAGAAAACUGAACAGAGACACAAAUUAAUAUAAGGGUUAUUAGAGAUCUUAUAAUAGGAAUUUACUAAGAACUCCCUGCAUCAGCUUCUCAAGCAUAUGCAUGUAUGAUCAACAAAUACCAACGUUGAGCUGUUAGA